UGCAAGUCGAGCGCAGGAAUAAACAGAACCCUUCGGGGUGAUGUUUAUGGAAUGAGCGGCGGACGGGUGAGUAACACGUGGGCAACCUGCCUGUAAGAUCGGGAUAACUCGCGGAAACGUGAGCUAAUACCGGAUAACACUUUUCAUCUCAUGGUGAGAAGAUAAAAGACGGUUUCGGCUGUCACUUACAGAUGGGCCCGCGGCGCAUUAGCUAGUUGGUGAGGUAACGGCUCACCAAGGCGACGAUGCGUAGCCGACCUGAGAGGGUGAUCGGCCACACUGGGACUGAGACACGGCCCAGACUCCUACGGGAGGCAGCAGUAGGGAAUCUUCCGCAAUGGACGAAAGUCUGACGGAGCAACGCCGCGUGAGUGAUGAAGGUUUUCGGAUCGUAAAACUCUGUUGUUAGGGAAGAACAAGUUGGGUAGUAACUGACCCAACCUUGACGGUACCUAACCAGAAAGCCACGGCUAACUACGUGCCAGCAGCCGCGGUAAUACGUAGGUGGCAAGCGUUGUCCGGAAUUAUUGGGCGUAAAGCGCUCGCAGGCGGUCUUUUAAGUCUGAUGUGAAAGCCCACGGCUUAACCGUGGAGGGUCAUUGGAAACUGGAGGACUUGAGUACAGAAGAGGAGAGUGGAAUUCCACGUGUAGCGGUGAAAUGCGUAGAGAUGUGGAGGAACACCAGUGGCGAAGGCGACUCUCUGGUCUGUAACUGACGCUGAGGAGCGAAAGCGUGGGUAGCGAACAGGAUUAGAUACCCUGGUAGUCCACGCCGUAAACGAUGAGUGCUAGGUGUUAGGGGGUUUCCGCCCCUUAGUGCUGAAGUUAACGCAUUAAGCACUCCGCCUGGGGAGUACGGCCGCAAGGCUGAAACUCAAAAGAAUUGACGGGGGCCCGCACAAGCGGUGGAGCAUGUGGUUUAAUUCGAAGCAACGCGAAGAACCUUACCAGGUCUUGACAUCCUCUGAUACCUCUA
This 977-nucleotide ribosomal RNA is filed under the name Oceanobacillus sp. MRSA205B15_13_2A. Its description in RNAcentral is "bacterial SSU rRNA". It matches the Rfam family "Bacterial small subunit ribosomal RNA", at positions 56 to 1002 of the family's 1533-position model. The record is from RNAcentral. Lineage: Bacteria; Bacillati; Bacillota; Bacilli; Caryophanales; Bacillaceae.